RNAcentral lists this ribosomal RNA (1131 nucleotides) under Triticum aestivum (bread wheat). Its description in RNAcentral is "partial small subunit ribosomal RNA". The record is from RNAcentral. Lineage: Eukaryota; Viridiplantae; Streptophyta; Magnoliopsida; Poales; Poaceae.
AUGCUGAAUUCCUCACAACAACCUCUUCACGACCACAUAAACCAAUGUCAGCUGGAUGCCAUUGCACAAGCAAUGUCUAUAAAGACCCAGUUCAACAUGAGCAGAGAUUGCUUUAAUUCGAUGGUGACAUCUUGGGGUUGCUCUCUCCCCGAAGGUCACAAACUGGCUAAAAGAUGGUACGAAGCGAAGAAAAUCCUUCGUGCACUUAAGAUGCCCUAUGAGCAUAUACAUGCUUGUCCAAACGGAUGUGUCUUAUUUACGAAAGAGUAUGACGAUGACAAGUAUUGCGCCAAGUGCAAAGCCUCUAGGUAUGUCGAGAGAGACCUCAGUGAUGGUACGAAGAAGCAGAGCAAAGUCCCAGCAAAUGUUCUUCGAUAUUUUCCAAUCUUGCCAAGAAUUCAACGUCUUUACUUGAACAAAGAUACAACUAAACAGAUGACAUGGCACAAAUAUGGGAUAAGACGCGACAAAGAUGAUCAUGGGAGACCGAUGUUGAUACAUCCGUCUUGUGCCCAAGCAUGGAAGAGUUUCGAUCGAAUACAUCAUGAGAAAGCAAAAGAGGUAAAGAAUGCACGAGUUGCCAUCGGACUCGAUGGGUUCGAUCCGUUUGGUAUGGUGUCAAAGACAUAUAGUUGUUGGCCCGUGUUUGUUGUUCCCCUCAACCUCCCCCCUGGCGCCCUAAUGCAACGCAAGCACAUGUUCCUGUCGUUGAUAAUUCCAGGGCCCAAGUAUCCGGGGAAGAAUAUAAGUGUGUACAUGCAACCACUGAUAGAUGAGUUGAAAGAAGCUUGGGUGAAUGUGAUACAGACAUACGACGCUGCUAGCAAAAAGAACUUCACAAUGCAUGUUUGGUACCAGUACUCACUUCAUGACUUACCGGCGUAUUCACUUUUCAUGGGGUGGUCUGUGCAUGGGAGGUUCCCAUGCCCAAGGUGCAAGGAAAGCAUGCAGUGUCGUUGGUUGCAGCAUGGUCGCAAGUAUUCUUGCUUCGGUUUUCAUAGACAACAUUUGCGUCUUGACCAUCCAUUCAGACAAGACAAGAAGAACUUCAUGAAAGGUGAAGUCGUUGAACACUCGGCACCACCUGAGAUGACGGAUGAACAAAUUCGUGAUCAACUAAAUGCUCUCUAG